UNAAAGGUUUGGUCCUGGCCUUUUUAUUGACUUCUAGUAAACUUACACAUGCAAAUAUCCGUACCCCAGUGAGAAUGCCCUCUAUAUCNAACANUGAUCAAAAGGAGUGGGUAUCAAGCACACUAUNNUUAGUUGCUCAUAACGCCUUGCUCAACCACACCCCCACGGGAUACAGCAGUGAUUAAGAUUAAGNCCAUGAAUGAAAAUUCGACUAAGUUAUACUACNNNCCCCGGGUUGGUAAAUUUCGUGCCAGCCACCGCGGUCAUACGAUUAACCCAAGUCAAUNAAAACACGGCGUAAAGCGUGAUUUAANNACAACAAAUUCAAUAAGACCCAGCUUAAACUAAGCCGUAAAAAGCCCUAGUUAUAAUAAAGAUUAAUNNAACGAAAGUAGUCUUAAAAUUUUUGAACUCACGAUAGCUAAGACCCAAACUGGGAUUAGAUACCCCACUAUGCUUAGCCCUAAACCCAAAUGCUCAAAUAACAAGACCAUUCGCCAGAGUACUACUAGCCACAGCUUAAAACUCAAAGGACUUGGCGGUGCUUUACAUCCCUCUAGAGGAGCCUGUUCUAUAAUCGAUAAACCCCGCUAUACCCUACCACCUUUUGCAAACAUCAGCCUAUAUACCGCCAUCUUCAGCAAACCUUAAUAAAGUCUUACAGUAAGCACAAUUAUUNAGACAUAAAUACGUUAGGUCAAGGUGUAGCCUAUAAGGUGGAAAGAAAUGGGCUACAUUUUCUACNACAUUAGAACAAUCNCCUCACGACAGCUUUCAUGAAACUUAAAGCCAAAGGCGGAUUUAGUAGUAAGCUAAGAAUAGAGAGCUUAGCUGAAUGGGGCAAUAAAGCACGCACACACCGCCCGUCACCCUCUUCAAGUCCUACCUACAGAUCACUAAUAUCUAAUUCNUACCCCACAGUAGCAUGAGAAGAGACAAGUCGUAACAAGGUAAACAUACUGGAAAGUGUGUUUGGAUUAAU
RNAcentral lists this non-coding RNA (982 nucleotides) under Callosciurus adamsi (ear-spot squirrel). RNAcentral describes it as "12S ribosomal RNA". The stretch from base 501 to 975 matches the Rfam family "Microsporidia small subunit ribosomal RNA", at positions 752 to 1303 of the family's 1311-position model. Lineage: Eukaryota; Metazoa; Chordata; Mammalia; Rodentia; Sciuridae. The record is from RNAcentral.